Molecule: non-coding RNA, 739 nt
Organism: Ictidomys tridecemlineatus (thirteen-lined ground squirrel)
Lineage: Eukaryota; Metazoa; Chordata; Mammalia; Rodentia; Sciuridae
Source: RefSeq, a predicted model, not a curated record
AGGUGGUCUCAAAGUGCGGCAAAGAAAGACUGGCCUUCCCCCAGGUCACAGGCCUGAGGACAGGGAGCGUCUGAGCAUGAGGAGAAGGUGGGGGGCGAGACUGGAAGAAAGCCAACUGUACCCGCUCAUGAAGGGCUCGUGGGCCAGGUAAAGGGCUUGGCAAGUUUCAUCGGAGGGUACUGGGGAGCCACGGAAAGUUGUAGGGAGGGAAAUCCCAGCUGCCCGGGCUCCUGGCUUGCCUCAGUCUCCCCAUCUGCAAACUGGGCCUGUGGAAUGCUGCUCUCCUGCGGAGGAGGGUCACACAGGGCCUGACUCAGGAAAACCCUACGUAUAGUCAGAUAGAUAGCUCUGCCCUAGGACAUCGCUCUCUUCCCUGAAUGAGGGGUCUCUGCACCCUGCUUUGGGAGACAGUGUCUCACCGAGUUGCCGAGCACCUUGCCAUUGCUGAGACUGACUUUGAACUCGCCAUCCUCCUGCCUCAGCCUCCCAAGCUGGUAGGAUUACAGGUGUGUGCCGCCACACCAGGUCUGCUUUGCUGUUUUUAAACAAAUCUUUGCUUGUGACUUGCUCUUGGUGUGUCUCAACGUGUCUUUUCAGCAGUGUAAGCCAAGGGCCUGCCUGGAGGAGUGGAGGACCCACUGCUCCCCUGGGAAGGGUCUUCACAGAUCCUGGGACAUUCCUUUGGCAAUCCAGAUGGCACUGAGGAGCCACCCGUGGUGAGUUGAACUGAACGCUUUCU